This 643-nucleotide ribosomal RNA is filed under the name Saturnispora diversa. RNAcentral describes it as "LSU rRNA". It matches the Rfam family "Eukaryotic large subunit ribosomal RNA", at positions 1 to 604 of the family's 3401-position model. Lineage: Eukaryota; Fungi; Ascomycota; Pichiomycetes; Pichiales; Pichiaceae. The record is from RNAcentral.
AAGAGUUUGUCUGAAAUUGAAGCUCCCCAGCGCUACUACGUAUCCGCAGGGAAUAAUCAAUUCGACCUCAAAUCAGGUAGGAGUACCCGCUGAACUUAAGCAUAUCAAUAAGCGGAGGAAAAGAAACCAACCGGGAUUGCCUCAGUAGCGGCGAGUGAAGCGGCAAAAGCUCCACUUUGAAAGCGUUUCGACGCGUUGUAGUGCGGUUCAGUCUUUGAGUGACGGAUGACUAAGUCCCCCUGGAACGGGGUGCCAUAGAGGGUGAGAGCCCCGUGAGUUGUCUUUUUAGCUCUUUAAGUCUUUACCAAAGAGUCGAGUUGUUUGGGAAUGCAGCUCUAAGUGGGUGGUAAAUUCCAUCUAAGGCUAAAUACCGGCGAGAGACCGAUAGCGAACAAGUACAGUGAUGGAAAGAUGAAAAGCACUUUGAAAAGAGAGUGAAACAGUACGUGAAAUUGUUGAAAGGGAAGGGUAUUUGGCCCGACAUGGGUUCUGUGCACCGUUGCCUCUUGUAGGCGGCGCUCUGCUGGAGCCUGGGCCAGCAUCAGUUUUCCGGCGAGGAUAAGAAGUUUUGAACCACAUUGUGGGGAUGAGUUUGAUGCUCGCAUGGGGGACUGAGGACUGCCGUUGUAGGAUGCCUGCUACC